AGUNCACUCAGCCAUCUCUCC
Molecule: transfer RNA, 21 nt
Filed under: Urtica gracilis subsp. aquatica
Lineage: Eukaryota; Viridiplantae; Streptophyta; Magnoliopsida; Rosales; Urticaceae
Description: partial tRNA-Ser
Source: RNAcentral